RNAcentral lists this ribosomal RNA (253 nucleotides) under uncultured bacterium. Its description in RNAcentral is "partial 16S ribosomal RNA". It matches the Rfam family "Bacterial small subunit ribosomal RNA", at positions 524 to 776 of the family's 1533-position model. The record is from RNAcentral.
GACGUAGGGCGCGAGCGUUGUCCGGAUUUAUUGGGCGUAAAGAGCUCGUAGGCGGCUCAUCGCGUCUGCCGUGAAAACCUGUGGCUCAACUACAGGCUUGCGGUUGAUACGGGUGGGCUGGAGUUCGGUAGGGGAGACUGGAAUUCCUGGUGUAGCGGUGAAAUGCGUAGAUAUCGUAAGGAAGACCAGUGGCGAAGGCGGGUCUCUGGACAGUUCCUGACGCUGAGGCACGAAGGCCAGGGGAGCAAACGGG